UGUGCGACACGUGAAUGAAGGCUGUAGACC
Molecule: non-coding RNA, 30 nt
Filed under: Homo sapiens (human)
Lineage: Eukaryota; Metazoa; Chordata; Mammalia; Primates; Hominidae
Source: RNAcentral